Molecule: ribosomal RNA, 249 nt
Filed under: uncultured bacterium
Lineage: Bacteria
Also listed under: 1 other name
Description: partial 16S ribosomal RNA
Rfam family: Bacterial small subunit ribosomal RNA
Source: RNAcentral
CACGCCGUAAACGAUGAGUGCUAAGUGUUAGGGGGUUUCCGCCCCUUAGUGCUGCAGCUAACGCAUUAAGCACUCCGCCUGGGGAGUACGGUCGCAAGACUGAAACUCAAAGGAAUUGACGGGGGCCCGCACAAGCGGUGGAGCAUGUGGUUUAAUUCGAAGCAACGCGAAGAACCUUACCAGGUCUUGACAUCCCGUUGACCACUGUAGAGAUAUAGUUUCCCCUUCGGGGGCAACGGUGACAGGUGG